GGGUUGUGAGGUUAAGCGACUAAGCGUACACGGUGGAUGCCCUGGCAGUCAGAGGCGAUGAAGGACGUGCUAAUCUGCGAAAAGCGUCGGUAAGGUGAUAUGAACCGUUAUAGCCGGCGAUGUCCGAAUGGGGAAACCCAGUGCAAUUCGUUGCACUAUCGUUAACUGAAUACAUAGGUUAACGAGGCGAACCGGGGGAACUGAAACAUCUAAGUACCCCGAGGAAAAGAAAUCAACCGAGAUUCCCCCAGUAGCGGCGAGCGAACGGGGAGCAGCCCGGAGUCUGAAUCAGCUUGUGUGUUAGUGGAAGCGUCUGGAAAGUCGCAGGGUACAGGGUGAUACUCCCGUACACUAAAGCACACAGGUUGUGAACUCGAAGAGUAGGGCGGGACACGUGGUAUCCUGUCUGAAUAUGGGGGGACCAUCCUCCAAGGCUAAAUACUCCUGACUGACCGAUAGUGAACCAGUACCGUGAGGGAAAGGCGAAAAGAACCCCGGCGAGGGGAGUGAAAAAGAACCUGAAACCGUGUACGUACAAGCAGUAGGAGCCUCCUUGUGGGGUGACUGCGUACCUUUUGUAUAAUGGGUCAGCGACUUAUAUUCUGUAGCAAGGUUAACCGUAUAGGGGAGCCGCAGGGAAACCGAGUCUUAACUGGGCGUUAAGUUGCAGGGUAUAGACCCGAAA
Molecule: ribosomal RNA, 685 nt
Filed under: Klebsiella oxytoca
Lineage: Bacteria; Pseudomonadati; Pseudomonadota; Gammaproteobacteria; Enterobacterales; Enterobacteriaceae
Description: bacterial LSU rRNA
Rfam family: Bacterial large subunit ribosomal RNA
Source: RNAcentral